Molecule: ribosomal RNA, 253 nt
Filed under: uncultured bacterium
Lineage: Bacteria
Description: partial 16S ribosomal RNA
Rfam family: Bacterial small subunit ribosomal RNA
Source: RNAcentral
UACAGAGGUCCCAAGCGUUGUUCGGAUUCACUGGGCGUAAAGGGUGCGUAGGCGGUCGGGUAAGUCUGAUGUGAAAUCUCACAGCUUAACUGUGAAACUGCAUUGGAUACUAUCCGGCUCGAGGAAUGGAGGGGAGACUGGAAUACUUGGUGUAGCAGUGAAAUGCGUAGAUAUCAAGAGGAACACCAGUGGCGAAGGCGGUUCUCUGGGCCUGUACUGACGCUGAGGAGCGAAAGCGUGGGGAGCGAACAGG